This 422-nucleotide ribosomal RNA is filed under the name uncultured bacterium. RNAcentral describes it as "bacterial SSU rRNA". It matches the Rfam family "Bacterial small subunit ribosomal RNA", at positions 355 to 774 of the family's 1533-position model. The record is from RNAcentral.
UGAGGAAUAUUGGGCAAUGCCCGCAAGGGUGACCCAGCAACGCCGCGUGGAGGAUGAAUGUCGUAAGAUUGUAAACUCCUGUUAGAGGGGAAGAAUAGUACCGGUUGGACCGGUAUAUGACUGUACCCUCAGAGAAAGCCCCGGCUAACUACGUGCCAGCCGCCGCGGUAAUACGUAGGGGGCAAGCGUUGUCCGGAUUUACUGGGUGUCAAGGGCGCGCAGGCGGGAUAAAAAGUCAGUGGUGAAAUCCUACAGCUUAACUGUAGAACUGCCUUUGAUACUUUUAUUCUUGAGUUGGGGAGAGAGAGACGGAAUUCCAGGUGUAGUGGUGAAAUACGUAGAUAUCUGGAAGAACACCCGUUGCGAAGGCGGUCUCUUGGUCCGACACUGACGCUGAGGCGCGAAAGCGUGGGGAGCAAACA